UACUAAGUUUUGAAGUGGAAAAGUAAAUGAUUAAAUUUCUAUCAGAGAGAUACUGGUUGGUGCGAAGUAUCAGAAAAGAAUUAUUGAAAAUCACCACUGAGCUGUAAUGCUGAAUUGAGUAAGUAUUAUCGGGAGCUCCCGUUACAGAGCUAUUCAUUAUUGGAUCAGAGUGCAUCAUAAAGAUGAAGAAGAGUGGUACCGCGGAGGAUUAUAUAGUCUUUCGUCUCUUUU
Peptoniphilus indolicus ATCC 29427 is the source of this 231-nucleotide regulatory RNA element. It matches the Rfam family "T-box leader". From Rfam's summary of the family: Uncharged tRNA acts as the effector for transcription antitermination of genes in the T-box leader family. The record is from Rfam. Lineage: Bacteria; Bacillati; Bacillota; Tissierellia; Tissierellales; Peptoniphilaceae.